AUUCUCUCACCCCCAUCUCCUCCUCCGGCCCCCUCCCCUCUCCUCUCCUCCCCUCUGGCUCCCCUUCAGCGGGCGGCGGUGCCCGACAUGCGACGACAGGGGUGAUAGGUGGUCGGGCGGCGACGGCCUGUGCAGUGGGUGGCCACGGUGGUGGGAUGGGAGGCGGUGCACGGCGGGCGGCGACCGACGCGGCCCCGAAGACGACGGUGAACCGCCGGCCGAUCCCUUCCCUGCGGCGAAGGAGGCGACGAGCAUUUGGAUAUGUGAAUUUGCUGAUUUUAUUGAUUUAUCUAUGAAUUUGUUGAUUUGUGAUGUGUUUGGAUCUGUAAAUUUGUGAUGUGGUGUUGACGUGAAAAAACACCUAAUUUUAUCCUUAACAUGUGGAUAUGGAUAAUUUUGUGAUGUUUAUAUGAAUUUGUUGAUUUGUGGA
This 430-nucleotide small RNA is filed under the name Oryza sativa Japonica Group (Japanese rice). RNAcentral's name for it is "sRNA Os01g0310700". Lineage: Eukaryota; Viridiplantae; Streptophyta; Magnoliopsida; Poales; Poaceae. The record is from RNAcentral.